AUUGAACGCUGGCGGCAGGCCUAACACAUGCAAGUCGAACGAGUGGCGGACGGGUGAGUAAUGUCUGGGAAACUGCCCGAUGGAGGGGGAUAACUACUGGAAACGGUAGCUAAUACCGCAUACCAUCGGAUGUGCCCAGAUGGGAUUAGCUAGUAGGUGGGGUACUGGCUCACCUAGGCGACGAUCCCUAGCUGGUCUGAGAGGAUGAGCAGCCACACUGGAACUGAGACAAGGUCCAGACUCCUACGGGAGGCAGCAGUGGGGAAUAUUGCACAAUGGGCGCAAGCCUGAUGCAGCCAUGCCGCGUGUAUGAAGAAGGCCUUCGGGUUGGAAAGUACUUUCAGCGGGGAGGCGUUACCCGCAGAAGAAGCACCGGCUAACUCCGUGCCAGCCGCCGCGGUAAUUC
RNAcentral lists this ribosomal RNA (406 nucleotides) under uncultured bacterium. Its description in RNAcentral is "partial 16S ribosomal RNA". It matches the Rfam family "Bacterial small subunit ribosomal RNA", at positions 30 to 526 of the family's 1533-position model. The record is from RNAcentral.